CAACCGGAGUUGAGGGGCUUUGGGUCCACCUCCCACCCGUGUUUAUUUACCUCGUUGCUUCGGCGGGCCCGCCUUAACUGGCCGCCGGGGGGCUCACGCCCCCGGGCCCGCGCCCGCCGAAGACACCCCCGAACUCUGCCUGAAGAUUGUCGUCUGAGUGAAAAUAUAAAUUAUUUAAAACUUUCAACAACGGAUCUCUUGGUUCCGGCAUCGAUGAAGAACGCAGCGAAAUGCGAUACGUAAUGUGAAUUGCAAAUUCAGUGAAUCAUCGAGUCUUUGAACGCACAUUGCGCCCCCUGGUAUUCCGGGGGGCAUGCCUGUCCGAGCGUCAUUGCUGCCCUCAAGCCCGGCUUGUGUGUUGGGCCCCGUCCUCCGAUUCCGGGGGACGGGCCCGAAAGGCAGCGGCGGCACCGCGUCCGGUCCUCGAGCGUAUGGGGCUUUGUCACCCGCUCUGUAGGCCCGGCCGGCGCUUGCCGAUCAACCCAAAUUUUUAUCCAGGUUGACCUCGGAUCAGGUAGGGAUACCCGCUGAACUUAAGCAUAUCAAUAAGGCGGAGGAA
RNAcentral lists this ribosomal RNA (559 nucleotides) under Penicillium expansum. Its description in RNAcentral is "eukaryotic LSU rRNA". The stretch from base 179 to 331 matches the Rfam family "5.8S ribosomal RNA". Lineage: Eukaryota; Fungi; Ascomycota; Eurotiomycetes; Eurotiales; Aspergillaceae. The record is from RNAcentral.